GGUGGCUCAGUGGUAGAGCACUUGCCUUGCAUGCAUGAGGCCCUGGGUUCAGUGGUAGAGCACUUGCCUUGCAUGCAUGAGGUCCUGGGUUCGAUUCCUCAGCACCA
Molecule: transfer RNA, 107 nt
Filed under: Dipodomys ordii (Ord's kangaroo rat)
Lineage: Eukaryota; Metazoa; Chordata; Mammalia; Rodentia; Heteromyidae
Source: Rfam by way of RNAcentral